This 838-nucleotide ribosomal RNA is filed under the name uncultured organism. RNAcentral's name for it is "bacterial SSU rRNA". It matches the Rfam family "Bacterial small subunit ribosomal RNA", at positions 61 to 912 of the family's 1533-position model. The record is from RNAcentral.
GUCGAACGAGCGAGAGAGAGCUUGCUUUCUCGAGCGAGUGGCGAACGGGUGAGUAACGCGUGAGGAACCUGCCUCAAAGAGGGGGACAACAGUUGGAAACGACUGCUAAUACCGCAUAAGCCCACGGCUCGGCAUCGAGCAGAGGGAAAAGGAGCAAUCCGCUUUGAGAUGGCCUCGCGUCCGAUUAGCUAGUUGGUGAGGUAACGGCCCACCAAGGCAACGAUCGGUAGCCGGACUGAGAGGUUGAACGGCCACAUUGGGACUGAGACACGGCCCAGACUCCUACGGGAGGCAGCAGUGGGGAAUAUUGCACAAUGGGGGAAACCCUGAUGCAGCGACGCCGCGUGGAGGAAGAAGGUCUUCGGAUUGUAAACUCCUGUUGUUGGGGAAGAUAAUGACGGUACCCAACAAGGAAGUGACGGCUAACUACGUGCCAGCAGCCGCGGUAAAACGUAGGUCACAAGCGUUGUCCGGAAUUACUGGGUGUAAAGGGAGCGCAGGCGGGAAGACAAGUUGGAAGUGAAAUCUAUGGGCUCAACCCAUAAACUGCUUUCAAAACUGUUUUUCUUGAGUAGUGCAGAGGUAGGCGGAAUUCCCGGUGUAGCGGUGGAAUGCGUAGAUAUCGGGAGGAACACCAGUGGCGAAGGCGGCCUACUGGGCACCAACUGACGCUGAGGCUCGAAAGUGUGGGUAGCAAACAGGAUUAGAUACCCUGGUAGUCCACACCGUAAACGAUGAUUACUAGGUGUUGGAGGAUUGACCCCUUCAGUGCCGCAGUUAACACAAUAAGUAAUCCACCUGGGGAGUACGACCGCAAGGUUGCAACUCAAAGGAAUUG